Molecule: transfer RNA, 76 nt
Filed under: Oscillospiraceae bacterium
Lineage: Bacteria; Bacillati; Bacillota; Clostridia; Eubacteriales; Oscillospiraceae
Description: tRNA-Ala
Rfam family: tRNA
About the family: Transfer RNA (tRNA) molecules are approximately 80 nucleotides in length.
Source: RNAcentral
GGGGAUAUGGCUCAGUUGGUAGAGCGCUACAAUGGCAUUGUAGAGGUCGUGGGUUCGAAUCCCAUUAUCUCCACCA